Non-coding RNA from Chelonoidis abingdonii (Abingdon island giant tortoise), 694 nucleotides. The record is from RefSeq and is a predicted model, not a curated record. NCBI's taxonomy places the organism in Eukaryota, Metazoa, Chordata, Testudines, Testudinidae.
UAUCAAAUUGUCUACAUUGCCAGGCUGGUUCCCUUGAUACUAAUGUGGCUUUAGGGGCAGCAAGGACAUAAAAUUAAAAUGAAUACUGGUACAAGUCCUCUGCUCUGAAGGGUAAACUUUAAACAAUACAUGGAGUUUAUCUUCAUUGUGCCCUAUGCUCUGCCACAUCAAUAUCAAAUUAUAUUGAUAUCAGCAGACACAUUAGUGUCAAGCUCUCAGGCCAUGAUUCAAGCAGUUACACAAAUAAUACACACAAGAUUCUAACGGCUAGCAGAGAAGAAGCUUGGGGCGUAAGGAUAAGUGUGAACAGAAGAAAAUCUAGGCAAAGAGGAGCCCCUAAAUUUAAAUAUGUGGGAUUAGCCAAAGGCCCUCUCCCACUGCUUCCCAUGGAGCUGCAGCAUUAACAAAGCAAGUGCCCAGCACUUUAAGAAAUCAAACCACUUUCUUUAGCUGCCUAAUUUUAGGCAUUCACAUGUGACAGUUUUGGCCAAUGUUCUCAAUGAAAUUAAUAACUGAAAUGGGAAAGCAUGCACAGUAUAUUUAAAACUAAAAACAGCCAAUUCAUUGAGAGUGUAUUUUGGCAUUCUGAAAAUUCCUUGCUACACAGAUCAAAUGAGCCACCACCGUACAGUUAUUAAAAAAGCACUACUCUGAAGUGCAUGUUACAUCAGAAAAAUUUGCAAUAUUUUUAAAA